GGGCCUGCUCGGUGAUUUAUAUUUAACAGCUGCGGUAUUAUAACUGUACUAAGGUAGCAUAAUAAUUUGCCUUAUAAAUUGAGGCUAGAAUGAAUGGUUUGACGAAAAUUAUACUGUCUCUAUUUUAUUCAUUAAAAGUUAAUUUUUAUAGUGAGAAAGCUUGGAUGAUUUAAAGGGACGAAAAGACCCUAUUGAGCUUUAUAUUAUAUUUUAAAUAUAAUUUGUUUUGUAUUUAUUUAAAUAUAAUUUUGGUUGGGGUGAUCAAGGAAUAAAGUAUAUUUGUAUUAACUUCCUUAGAUAUUAUAUAUAAAUAAAUUAAUAAACCAAAUUUAUUGCUUAAAAAAUAAGUUACCAUAGGGAUAACAGCGUAAUUUUUUUUGAAAGUUCAUAUUG
This 393-nucleotide ribosomal RNA is filed under the name Amphioctopus aegina. RNAcentral's name for it is "partial 16S ribosomal RNA". The stretch from base 1 to 120 matches the Rfam family "Bacterial large subunit ribosomal RNA", at positions 1854 to 2022 of the family's 2925-position model. The record is from RNAcentral. Lineage: Eukaryota; Metazoa; Mollusca; Cephalopoda; Octopoda; Octopodidae.